GUUCCUUUAUGAUGUAGAAAAAGAUAAUGGAGCAAGAUUCAGUACAAGAAAAAAAGGUGAAGGAAGUAUAUCAUUCUGACACCUGAAAAGUCCAGGAUCUCUCUAGAAAAUGAUGGAGCUUCUCUCAUCACCAAUUUUCUAUAGCCAAAGAAGCCCCAGCUACCUACUGUGUGGGAGGAGAGGCUCUAAACCAUAAACAGGCCAAUAAUACGUCACACCAUCUGAUUGCAAUGAAUGCGAAAGUAAAAGAUGGUUGGAACGGUGCCGGCGAAAGGUUGUUUCAGCUGGAGCAGAGGAGAGAAGGUUGUCCAAGAAGCUGUAGAGACACUGCACGUGACGACUGAUAAGCUUGUGAUGGCUCCAGCACAUACCAGAGGGAAAAGCAGUGAGAGAGGUGUUUGUUGCAUGAUAGGCAUCUCCCCAGAUCUACAAAAGUUAUAAGAUACCAAAUUAGCUCAUACUGAAAAAUGCUUGUUCACUAAUGGCAGUAACAACUGUGUCACAUGUUCACUACAAAGAUGCCCGAGGACACUCACCUGUAUUGCAUUAAAAAGGAAGAGACCAGAAAUGUAUUAGUGCUGGAUAGAUAAAAUAUUUAAAUGGCUAUAGCUAGAUGGACUAUAGAGAUAGUAAUCUGAUAUGUAUGCAUGCACUGAACCUUUUUAUACUAGAGUUGCAGCAUAAAUGACCCCAUUAAAUCCUGUUAUUCUCCUAAUCCAAUAAGCGCUUAAUCUCAUUGCAAGUGUUGGAAAUAAUUAUUCAUUUAUACACUUGUUUUUGCCACACAUUUUAUGUCAACAAGGAGUGUGCCUUUGACUAAUCAGUUAAAACA
This 832-nucleotide long non-coding RNA is filed under the name Strigops habroptila (Kakapo). Its description in RNAcentral is "lncRNA (ENSSHBG00005002105.1)". The record is from RNAcentral. Lineage: Eukaryota; Metazoa; Chordata; Aves; Psittaciformes; Psittacidae.